GGUAUUGCGCCGGGCUUUGAACGGAUAACUCUGAUGACGUUAAACACGAGGAUAAUUUCCCUCCAAUACC
This 70-nucleotide transfer RNA is filed under the name Sipunculus nudus (marine worm). Its description in RNAcentral is "tRNA-Ile". The record is from RNAcentral. Lineage: Eukaryota; Metazoa; Annelida; Sipuncula; Golfingiida; Sipunculidae.